RNAcentral lists this ribosomal RNA (512 nucleotides) under uncultured bacterium. RNAcentral's name for it is "partial 16S ribosomal RNA". It matches the Rfam family "Bacterial small subunit ribosomal RNA", at positions 28 to 507 of the family's 1533-position model. The record is from RNAcentral.
GAUGAACGCUGGCGGCGUGCCUAAUACAUGCAAGUCGAACGAAACUUCUUUAUCACCGAGUGCUUGCACUCACCGAUAAAGAGUUGAGUGGCGAACGGGUGAGUAACACGUGGGCAACCUGCCCAAAAGAGGGGGAUAACACUUGGAAACAGGUGCUAAUACCGCAUAACCAUAGUUACCGCAUGGUAACUAUGUAAAAGGUGGCUAUACUACCGCUUUUGGAUGGGCCCGCGGCGCAUUAGCUAGUUGGUAGGGUAAAGGCUUACCAAGGCAAUGAUGCGUAGCCGAAUUGAGAGGUUGAUCGGCCACAUUGGGACUGAGACACGGCCCAAACUCCUACGGGAGGCAGCAGUAGGGAAUCUUACACAAUGGGCGAAAGCCUGAUGGAGCAACGCCGCGUGGGUGAAGAAGGUCUUCGGAUCGUAAAACCCUGUUGUUAGAGAAGAAAGUGCGUGAGAGUAACUGUUCACGUUUCGACGGUAUCUAACCAGAAAGCCACUGCUAACUACGUG